RNAcentral lists this transfer RNA (73 nucleotides) under Felis catus (domestic cat). It matches the Rfam family "tRNA". From Rfam's summary of the family: Transfer RNA (tRNA) molecules are approximately 80 nucleotides in length. Their secondary structure includes four short double-helical elements and three loops (D, anti-codon, and T loops). Lineage: Eukaryota; Metazoa; Chordata; Mammalia; Carnivora; Felidae. The record is from Rfam by way of RNAcentral. RNAcentral also lists the same sequence under 4 other names.
ACUUGGCUGGCUCAGUCAGUGGAGCACACGACUCUUGAUCUUGGAGUUGUGAGUUCAAGCCCCAUGCUGGGUG